RNAcentral lists this transfer RNA (71 nucleotides) under Myotis davidii. It matches the Rfam family "tRNA". Rfam says of the family: Transfer RNA (tRNA) molecules are approximately 80 nucleotides in length. Their secondary structure includes four short double-helical elements and three loops (D, anti-codon, and T loops). The record is from Rfam by way of RNAcentral. Lineage: Eukaryota; Metazoa; Chordata; Mammalia; Chiroptera; Vespertilionidae.
GCCAGCAUGGCUCAGUGGUUGAGCAUCAACCUGUGAAGCUGAAGGUCACGGUUCGAUUCUCGGUCAGGGCA